GAAAAACUGAAGGGUAAAUUUUGGGGUAUUACACAGGGUAGUCUUCAGUUAGUUUGAACUUGCGUUCAAAAUUCAGGAAGAGAAUACUCCAUCAAGUGAUCACAAAUCUAGAAUGGUUGUCCCUUACCACAAAAGGAGUGAGAUAGUCACAACUUGUGCAAUAAAUCGAGAAAGCAACGUCAUAGUAUUUGCUUAAGAACAAAAAGAAAAGAUGAAACAAAAU
This 223-nucleotide long non-coding RNA is filed under the name Lathyrus oleraceus (garden pea). RNAcentral's name for it is "Pisum sativum (pea) long non-coding RNA (PSAT_LNC003161)". The record is from RNAcentral. Lineage: Eukaryota; Viridiplantae; Streptophyta; Magnoliopsida; Fabales; Fabaceae.